This 1718-nucleotide long non-coding RNA is filed under the name Podarcis lilfordi (Lilford's wall lizard). The record is from RNAcentral. Lineage: Eukaryota; Metazoa; Chordata; Lepidosauria; Squamata; Lacertidae.
GGACUUCCGGGUUGGUGCGAACAGCUAAUGGCGGAUUCUCUCCGAGCUCCGGAGGGAAUCGGCUCCGCUGGGGACGGGUCUUGCCGCGACGGCGACGCGGAGACCCUCAAAAACCGCAGGCGCGGAUGCCUGCGGACCUGGUGACUCGGUGGGCACCUUAAGCGCCCCCCCGACCCACGAAGAGCCUUUUUAAAGGCUACGGAGAGGGUACGGAAAGCGGCGUGGUGCUGGGAGUAGACCGCUACCCCAGCGGAGCGGAGCCGUGUGCCAUGGCUGAAGAGCACUGACUUUUUUCCUUAAAUUCGGAACUCGAAAAGAAGCAACCCGUGAGUAGAUUGGAAUUCGGACUUUAAAAUAUCUAUCUGUGAAUUUGAUACGACCGGGGAUGUGUUAAAGGGAAGUCCGCACCCCCCCCUUCUGCAGACGAUUUAAAGCAAUAGCAGGAGAACUAAGUUGGAGAGUCUACCCCUUUGGGGUGAGUUAAAAAGACAUUAACUUUCACGAUUUGAUAAAAGAAGUUUUGAGCUGGAGUGUAAGAGUGGAAUUUUAGAAGUUUUUCUCUUGUGGUGUGUAACCCCCCCCUUCCGGGCCCGGGAGCGUCCUGCCUUUGAGCCUGUUGAAGAGGAAAGGAGUUUGACAGCUGUUAAAGCUGUCAAACGGGCAAUUUAAAGUAAAAAGCGUGUUAUUUAAGAUCUCCCUGGACUAAAUGUGAUACAAUUGAAUUAAAGUGGUUCGAAACAAAGAAACAAAGAACGAGGCAAAGGACUGUUGGGAAAAGAUUACUAAGUAACCAGAUUCCCUCUAGGGGAAUUCUGAGACAUUACAAUGGCUGCGGAUGGAAAUUUACUAGCUGAAAUAGAAAGAAUGUGUUACUUUGUGGGAACUUUACAAGAGCAGAGUCUGGCUAUGAAUAAACAACUUACGACCUUGACUUCUGGAAUAAGCAGCUCUGCUGAAUGUAUUGAGGAUCUGAAUGAGAAAAAGCUGCAGCUGAACCGGAACAGAUAUCUCAAGAAUUGAAGGAGACUAAACAAGGAAAGGAGAAAGCACAGAUGGAAAGUACCAACCAGAAGCCUACACAUGUGGAUUAUAAACAAGAAGACCCUUGGAUUACAUGGAUUACAAAUCUGCAAAAGAUGCGAAAGAUGAAGGAGGAGGCCCCUGGAGUACUUGGAAUUCAAGAACUUAAAAGAAAGAAGAAAUAUGAUGGGGGCCUCCAUUCUGAAUAUGAAGGACUGGUGGAACUUUUGCAGCAGUUGUCUCUAAGUUUUCUUGUGGGAAGAAAAUCUGGCUUGACUGGGACAGAACUCCUUCGAGAUCCGAAGACCAACAUAAAGGACUACCAACAAAACCGGCGGAGAGGGACUGAAAGAGACUUGAAGGCCUCGGAUGUAGAAAUCCAGGCUAAGAACUGUUAUUGUAGAAAUGUACUUGGGAAGGGACGAACCGGGGAUGGGAGGGGGAAAAUAGAAUUUUAAAAACACUUACGAUUUUUGGGUCUAGUCAAUAUGAUUGAUGCUUAAUAAAAAUGGGAAAUCGAUGGAAGGGAAUCUGAGCCCAACUUAGGAUAGAAUUUAAUCUUCUACAAAAGAUGUAAUAUUAACAGGGUAAGGAGGUAAAAUAAUAACUUGCUGACAUAAUUAUGGGAAUUGGGAUGUAUGAAGGGGGGGUGGGGGGAAGUCAAGGACCAAAGUUAAGAAAGUAAGAUUUUUGAAAUU